CUGUCAUAAACAAAAUUGAUCAGCCCACUGCUGAUCCAGAUAGGGUAAAAGCACAGCUCAAAUCCAUGUUUGACCUUGAUCCCUGUGAUGCACUAUUAACAUCUGCAAAAACAGGUCAAGGUCUAGAGCAGGUUCUACCUGCUGUGAUAGAGCGAAUUCCUCCACCUCCUGGUAGAAGCACUUCACCUUUGCGAUUGCUUUUGCUGGAUUCAUAUUAUGAUGAGUACAAAGGAGUUAUCUGCCAUGUGGCUGUUGUUGAUGGUGCUUUGCACAAGGGUGACAAGAUUUCCUCUGCUUCCACUGGCCAAAGUUAUGAAGUUUCUGAUGUUGGUAUUUUGCACCCGGAACUUGUACCUACAGGAAUCCUUUUAACAGGUCAAGUUGGAUUCAUGGUCAGCGGCAUGCAGCGAUGCACUAUUAACAUCUGCAAAAACUGGUCAAGGUCUAGAGCAGGUUCUACCUGCUGUGAUAGAGCGAAUUCCUCCACCUCCUGGUAGAAACACUUCACCCUUGCGAAUGCUUUUGCUGGAUUCCUAUUAUGAUGAGUACAAAGGAGUUAUCUGCCAUGUGGCUGUUGUUGAUGGUUCUCUGCACAAGGGUGACAAGAUUUCCUCUGCUGC
This 620-nucleotide long non-coding RNA is filed under the name Nicotiana benthamiana. Its description in RNAcentral is "long non-coding RNA (NBEN_LNC023378)". Lineage: Eukaryota; Viridiplantae; Streptophyta; Magnoliopsida; Solanales; Solanaceae. The record is from RNAcentral.